Molecule: long non-coding RNA, 351 nt
Organism: Xenopus laevis (African clawed frog)
Lineage: Eukaryota; Metazoa; Chordata; Amphibia; Anura; Pipidae
Exons: 3
Source: RefSeq, a predicted model, not a curated record
AUCUGACCCAAUCUGACUGCAUUACACUGGACAUUUCCAUCAGGAGUACCUAUAAGAAAGGGCUAUCAGUCUUGGAGUGCUCCCACAACCUCCCUUUUAUGUACAAUUGUAUAAUAUCCCUGACUAAAUUCGAAAACUAUAGAACCCAUAUGCUGAAUCGAUGAUUGUAAAUCCACUUUCCAUGAAACACACAAUAUCCAUCUGAACUGAAUUUAAAGGUGUAUCUCCCGGUGUCACUUAUCGUGAUUGGCUGGAAGUACAGGAAGUCUUUGUUGCAGGUCACAUGGGGCUGGGAGCAGGCAGUUACUCCAUCUUUGUAAAAAGUGUAAUUAACCACAUUCUGGCCACCAG